Molecule: ribosomal RNA, 466 nt
Filed under: uncultured bacterium
Lineage: Bacteria
Description: bacterial SSU rRNA
Rfam family: Bacterial small subunit ribosomal RNA
Source: RNAcentral
GAUGAACGCUGGCGGCAGGCCUUACACAUGCAAGUCGAACGAAUGUCGUGAUUAUUGAAGCUUCGGCCGAUUUAAUCACAAUGGCAUUAGUGGCGAACGGGUGAGUAACGCGUAAGAACCUCCCUUAAGUUCGGGAUAGCCUAUCGAAAGGUAGGGUAAUACCGGAUGUGAACGAAAGUUUAAAGGCUUCGGCCGCUUAAGGCAGGGCUUGCGUCCUAUCAGCUUGUUGGUGAGGUAAUAGCUCACCAAGGCUAAGACGGGUAGCUGGUCUGAGAGGAUGAUCAGCCACACUGGGACUGCGACACGGCCCAGACACCUACGGGUGGCAGCAGUGGGGAAUCUUCGGCAAUGGGCGAAAGCCUGACCGAGCCAUGCCGCGUGCAGGAUGAAGGCCUUUUCGGUUGUAAACUGCUGUGGUAGUCAACUAAUAAAUGAAGUGACUACUAGAAAGAGGCUGCUAACUAUG